CCGAGUUUUCAACUCCCUAACCCUUAUGUAACCUACCUAUUGUUGCUUCGGCGGACUCGCCCCAGCCGGACGCGGACUGGACCAGCGGCCGUCGGGGACCUCAAACUCUUGUAUUCCAGCAUCUUCUGAAUACGCCGCAAGGAAAACAAAUGAAUC
RNAcentral lists this unclassified non-coding RNA (156 nucleotides) under Beauveria bassiana. RNAcentral describes it as "ITS1". The record is from RNAcentral. Lineage: Eukaryota; Fungi; Ascomycota; Sordariomycetes; Hypocreales; Cordycipitaceae.